This 349-nucleotide long non-coding RNA is filed under the name Mus spicilegus (steppe mouse). Its description in RNAcentral is "lncRNA (ENSMSIG00000018868.1)". Lineage: Eukaryota; Metazoa; Chordata; Mammalia; Rodentia; Muridae. The record is from RNAcentral.
GGGAGGUCUCAUGCUUUAAUGAUGUAGAGUAUCUUCCCACUCUAGUGUGCCUGAGCCUCCAGGCAGGCAGCGUGUGUUUCCGCUGGGGCAAAGGUGAAGGAGCAGGAGUUGUAACUGGAGAAUAGCAGACACAUCACUAACCACAGCUGACACCUGAGUGCUUUCUUUGGGUGGAAGUGGAACAUGCUUUUACAGAGUGCAUCCUGUGUGCCCAGUGUUCCCAGACUAUUAGAGGACCUGGCUGAUGCUCCGGAGAUGAUAAAACAUGAUCCAGGCGUCUCUUUUCUCCAGGAGGAAAAAUGGCAGCAGCAGUAGUGGAUCCACAACAGGUAUGAUUUCUAAGUAUUCG